Molecule: signal recognition particle RNA, 300 nt
Filed under: Saimiri boliviensis boliviensis (Bolivian squirrel monkey)
Lineage: Eukaryota; Metazoa; Chordata; Mammalia; Primates; Cebidae
Description: Metazoan signal recognition particle RNA (ENSSBOG00000004924.1)
Rfam family: Metazoan signal recognition particle RNA
About the family: The signal recognition particle (SRP) is a universally conserved ribonucleoprotein. It is involved in the co-translational targeting of proteins to membranes.
Source: RNAcentral
ACCAGGCUCAGUGGCACAUGCCUGUAGUCACAGCUACUCAGGAGGCUGAGGUGGGAGGAUUGCUUGAGCCCAGGAGUUCUGGGCUGUAGUGUACUAUGCCAAUAGGGUGUCCGCACUAAGUUCGGCAUCAAUAUGGUGACCUCCCGGGAGCGGGGGACCACCAGGUUGCCUAAGGAGGGGUGAACUGGCCCAGGUUGGAAAUGGAGCAGGUCAAAACUCCCAUGCUGAUCAGUAGUGGGAUCGCACCUAUGAAUAGCUACUGCACUGCAGCCUGGGCAACAUAGCGAGACCCCCGUCUCU